ACGGAAGGCAGCAGUGAGGAAUAUUGGUCAAUGGGCGGAAGCCUGAACCAGCCAAGUCGCGUGAAGGAUGAAGGUAUUAUGUAUUGUAAACUUCUUUAGACGUAGAGAAAUAAGGGGGUCGAGACCUCUGAUGCUAGUAUACGUAGAAUAAGGAUCGGCUAACUCCGUGCCAGCGGCCGCGGUAAUACGGAGGAUCUGAGCGUUAUCCGGAUUUAUUGGGUUUAAAGGGUGCGCAGGCGGCUUUUUAAGUCAGUGGUUAAAUCGUGGAGCUUAACUCCAUCCCGCCAUUGAUACUGGAGAGCUUGAUUGCGGUUGAGGUUGGCGGAAUUCGCCGUGUAGCGGUGAAAUGCAUAGAUAUGGCGAAGAACUCCGAUUGCGUAGGCAGCUGACCAAGCCGUAAAUGACGCUCAUGCACGAAAGUGCGGGGAUCGAACAGGAUUAGAUACCCUGGUA
RNAcentral lists this ribosomal RNA (453 nucleotides) under uncultured Porphyromonadaceae bacterium. RNAcentral's name for it is "partial 16S ribosomal RNA". It matches the Rfam family "Bacterial small subunit ribosomal RNA", at positions 341 to 792 of the family's 1533-position model. Lineage: Bacteria; Pseudomonadati; Bacteroidota; Bacteroidia; Bacteroidales; Porphyromonadaceae. The record is from RNAcentral.